UCGCAUCCAGGUAAGUUCUAUUCAAUAUUUUCGAUAAUUGCAGGUCCAUUAAGCCACAACAACGGCUAGGAGACGUGCUCAUCACGAGGUUUCAAGUUUGCUUUAGUAUUUUACUUAUUUUCUUUCCAAAAAAAAUGGCUUUGUAUUUGUAGUUUUAUUUGUUUCCUUUGUUGCACUUUUACAUUUAUUUCGGCCUUAGGGCUAGCUGAAGGACUCUUAUAAAGUCCCCCUGCAGCAGUUGUACGAUUUUUCACCCUAUUAUCAAUAAAGAACCCGAAUUUUCUUCAAUUUUCUCCUUAAGUGUUCUUAAGAGAAAAGCUUGUCCUUUGUCUUGUGUGUGUGAUUCCACAAGGCUGAGUUUGUGUACUGUAUCAGAGACCAAUCACAUCUCUGUGGUGUACUUCAAUCCGCCAGCACUUCCCCUUCAUUCGAUCCCACACGAGAGAAGCGACCGCCAUCGUGUCAGAUCUACAUCAACGACCAUCUUUCCUUCACAAGAGAGAAGCGACCGCCAUCUUGUGAAGCCAUCAUAUCUAUCCUAAUACAAGCUCACCACCGAGACUUGUAUCAUCAUGCAACAAAUCUCUUGACAUAUUGAUACUGAAACAAUUGGAACUCAAAGCUAAAAAUUAGCCUGUUAGUGUGUCAAAUAUCAAGAGAAAUGAACAAAAUUUGAAAGAAAUGAGUGGAGAUACACUUAGCAAAUUUAUCAGUUUUACUCUUCCGGUUGAGUAAUAUCAGGAAAGGAGACGCGCUCGUCGAGUGAAGGAGACGCGUGACGUCUUUGUCGAGUGAACGGCGAGAAUACGACGCUCGAGUGAUGAGAACGUGAGUCGCGUGAGAGCUGCACCGGGUAUCUGUCGGAGAACUAUCCACUAGUCAAGUGGAUGUGGCGCGUGAGCUUCGCUGGUCGAGUAAAGAUCUUCACCGUCGAGUGUAUACUAAGUGAGCUCCUUGUAACCGCCGGUCGAGUGAACGAUACGCGCCGGUCGAGUGGAGUGCUUGUGCCCCUAUCGAGUGAGGUACUGCCGAGUAGAGUUUCGGACGGUCCAGGACG
This 1057-nucleotide long non-coding RNA is filed under the name Capsella rubella. RNAcentral describes it as "long non-coding RNA (CRUB_LNC001634)". The record is from RNAcentral. Lineage: Eukaryota; Viridiplantae; Streptophyta; Magnoliopsida; Brassicales; Brassicaceae.